AGAUAAAGGUGUAAAAACAAGUAUAAAAAAUUUAGACUUUAUGCUUUGACGUGAGAUUUUUUACACCAUUAUCGCCCAAAGCCACCAUUAUCCAAACAUCAUAGUCGCUGAUCGUCCCUCUCAGUAUUGGGGAUAAUACGCAGAGAAGCUUUCAACUUUUAUAAAAUAACGAAGGUCUGACAUGCGCUGGCUCUCUC
This is a long non-coding RNA of Maniola jurtina (meadow brown), 197 nucleotides long. RefSeq lists it as uncharacterized. Lineage: Eukaryota; Metazoa; Arthropoda; Insecta; Lepidoptera; Nymphalidae. The record is from RefSeq and is a predicted model, not a curated record. The transcript is spliced from 4 exons.